CGAGAGCGAGACCUGCGUUUAUGCCUGUCCUCUCUAUCAAGUUCCUUUCGCCUGUCAUAGUCUCGCCUUCUGUAAUAAUCAUCGUCGUCAUUUUUAUCCCUCCCUUUUUCCCUUUCUCUUUCCCUUCGGUCCCUGUGAUCGCGAUGGCGAUGAUCUCGAUCUCUCUCCUUUUCUCUCUUCCUGUCCUUUUCCCUCCCUUUCUCUCGUUCUUUUUCCUUUUCUCUGCUGCUUCUUGAUGAAUCUCUAUCAUAAUCACGGUCACCAGAUGCAUGCUUGUGAGUUUUUGAGUCGUGAGGAUAUUGGUGUUCAC
Molecule: long non-coding RNA, 310 nt
Filed under: Lupinus mutabilis
Lineage: Eukaryota; Viridiplantae; Streptophyta; Magnoliopsida; Fabales; Fabaceae
Description: partial ncRNA
Source: RNAcentral